GAGAAGAACGUAGCGAAAUGCGAUAAGUAAUGUGAAUUGCAGAAUUCAGUGAACCAUCGAAUCUUUGAACGCACAUUGCGCCCGGCAGUAAUCUGCCGGGCAUGCCUGUCCGAGCGUCAUUUCUCCCCUCGAGCGCAGCUUUCCCCCCCGGGGGAGGGCCGCGCCCGGUGUUGGGGCGCUACGGAGGAGCCCAGCGCUCCCCCGUAGGCCCCGAAAUGUAGUGGCGGUCCCGCCGCGGCGCCCCCUGCGUAGUAGUUUUACAACUCGCAUCGGGUCCCGGCGGAGGCCAGCCGUCAAACCCCCCAACUUCAAUAGUUUGACCUCGGAUCAGGUAGGGUUACCCGCUGAACUUAAGCAUAUCAAUAAGCGGAGGA
Molecule: unclassified non-coding RNA, 374 nt
Filed under: soil metagenome
Description: partial contains 5.8S ribosomal RNA, internal transcribed spacer 2, and large subunit ribosomal RNA
Rfam family: 5.8S ribosomal RNA (bases 3-119)
Source: RNAcentral